GAUGAACGCUGGCGGCGUGCCUAAUACAUGCGAGUCGAGCGAACAGACGAGGAGCUUGCUCCUCUGACGUUAGCGGCGGACGGGUGAGUAACACGUGGAUAACCUACCUAUAAGACUGGGAUAACUUCGGGAAACCGGAGCUAAUACCGGAUAAUAUAUUGAACCGCAUGGUUCAAUAGUGAAAGACGGCUUUGCUGUCACUUAUAGAUGGAUCCGCGCCGCAUUAGCUAGUUGGUAAGGUAACGGCUUACCAAGGCGACGAUGCGUAGCCGACCUGAGAGGGUGAUCGGCCACACUGGAACUGAGACACGGUCCAGACUCCUACGGGAGGCAGCAGUAGGGAAUCUUCCGCAAUGGGCGAAAGCCUGACGGAGCAACGCCGCGUGAGUGAUGAAGGUCUUCGGAUCGUAAAACUCUGUUAUUAGGGAAGAACAAAUGUGUAAGUAACUAUGCACGUCUUGACGGUACCUAAUCAGAAAGCCACGGCUAACUACGUG
Molecule: ribosomal RNA, 497 nt
Filed under: uncultured bacterium
Lineage: Bacteria
Description: partial 16S ribosomal RNA
Rfam family: Bacterial small subunit ribosomal RNA
Source: RNAcentral